This is a long non-coding RNA of Homo sapiens (human), 1099 nucleotides long. Ensembl annotates it as long intergenic non-protein coding RNA 370. Lineage: Eukaryota; Metazoa; Chordata; Mammalia; Primates; Hominidae. The record is from Ensembl.
ACUUUUCAGAUGUCUCUCUCUCUCUCUCUCUCUAAGAGCUGCUCUCCUCUCUCCUUUCUUCUAUCUAUUAAAUUUUCCACUCCCUAACCCACCCACAUGUGAUUGUGUCCUGAAUUCUUGGUGUGUGACGAUGAACCCCAGGGUGUAUACCCCAGACAGCACAGCCACUUCACCAGCAGGGACAGCAGCUGUCACAUGAACUGGAGAUGAACUGGAGCCUUGCAGGAGCCUUGGUUGUCUAAGGGGAGUAACCUGGGGAAAGAUCCCAAGUGCAGGAUUUAUCAUCACAAACACAAUGGAAAGGGAAGCCAGCUCCCACACACCCAAGGCAGCACGAAGCCUGUUCUUCAGAAGGAACCCUGCCCUCUCUCGGCUCCAGUCUCUCCAUGGGAAGCUCUGGGCUCCCCAGCAGUGUCCACUGGCUGGCCCUGUAACUGCAGCCCAGUCUUGUCUUCUCUAAAGAACAGCAUCACUGUGUCAUGCAAAAUCCUCCAACACUUUGACUAUGUCCUACCACAACAAACCUACAACAUAUGUACUUGGCUUUCCAGAUUUCUCAUAACAUAGCUCUGCCCUGCCUAUUCGUAAGCAUUUCCCAAUAUUUCCCCAAACCCACUGGGGCCACUUGGGCUUGGCAGUGCAUCGUCUUCCCCAUGAUCACGCCCUGAUGCACCUGCCUGAAUGUCGCCCAGCGAGUGGCUUGCAUUUCCCAAGGGAUCAGACCCGUCCUGUCUCCCUACUGAAAUCCUUCCCCAAAGACCUUCACUGACAUUGCCAUGACCCAGGGAACUCCCUCAGCAUGGAAUUUCUUGGCCAUUUGUAUUUUUGACUCCAGGGCUUCAUGUUAAGUCACUGUGUUUGCUCAUCACCUUUUUUAAAGAAGACCCUGCCCAUCACCCUUUCAACCUCCACCUUGCUUAAUUUGUCUUCAUAGCAUUUAUCAUUAACUUAAAUUAACUUACAUAGUUAUUUAGUAAUUUUCUCAUGAUCCUAGUGAUAGAUAUAUCCCAUGACGGCCUGUACUUUGUUUAUAUUGUAAACAAAAUGUGUCCCCAUUGUCUAUAUCUGCAUGGAAAACAAGAACACAAUUAACCACAAA